UAAUCGUCUCUCCCACUUUACCCAUCAUCAGAGACCUUACCCCAAAACCCUAACACCGCCCUACUUUCCACAGUCUCCAACCGGCGACGCCGCUCCCAAUCGACCCCAAAUCAACACCACAAAACCACCAUGACUCCCUCAUACCAAAUCCAUCACUGGUUUCCCUCGAAUCUGUCCAGAACUUCUCGAAUCGUAAAUCAGAGUUCGAGCCCUAAAAGUCUAAAAUCAUUUUUCAUUGAACCCAGUGGCAUGCAUGAUCAUAGGCUGUUGUUCCUUUCGAGUUUUGAAGUUUUGAUUCAACGAAAACUGAUGUUGUUCAUUUGUUCUUGACAAAGAACAAAUGAUUGACAUUAGUUUCCUUAAGUCAAUGUCUCUGGUGGGUUUUGAUUUUUGGUCUGGUAAGUUUCUUCACCUCUUUGUCCGUUCUUGUUUGUUUCAUUGUCUUACUCUUAUUCGUUUCAUCUCCCUUUCUUUAGUUAGUCUUUUUCUUAAUGUGGUGGAAACUCGACUAAGGCUAUGAACUUAGGACCUCCUUUCUAGAUUAAUCUGUGUUUGUUUUUCUAAUUCAUUUUGUUUUGCUCAAUGGUCUGUUUAGUUUUCUUCCUGAUUUUUAUUUAGCCUUAUAGUCAAAUUAGUUAGUUUGUUUUGAUUUAAUAACUUAGUUAAUUCCGUAUUAAUCAGUCAAUUAUUGUAGGUUUUAGUUUUCGAAAUCCUUAAGUAUUUUCGUCUGUUUGUUUACUCUUUUUAUUUAGUUUAUCUUUGUUGCUUGGGCUUUGAGGCCGGUUUAGACUUCACCUCAAAGGGUUUGUUUGGUUUCUUGGGUCGGAUCUGAGCCUAGGUCUGUUUGAGCUAUUCGGUUAAUUCGACCCAUUUGGUUUCCCAAGGUAAAAACAGAGGGUCUGGGGGUUAAUUUAGGACUAAGUUGGGAAAUCUGAUGUAACUAACUUGGGAAGCUUCUUAGAAGCUGGGGAUUGGGAUUUAUGUGAAAAUAUGAUUUUUAAAUUAAGGAUCAACUAGCAAAAACAAAAAUUAAAAAAGAAGUAAAGGGCAAAAACUGAAAUCAUUUCUGCUGCCCUAGAACCUUGCCUAUAAAGGCAUCAUAACUUGACAUUCAUGUCAGAUUUGGGAGAUUUUAAGAGAUAGAAAAUAUAGAAAAAUUGAAACGGCUGCUUCUUCUCUAAAAAUUUCUGAAACAACCUUGAAUUCCUGGCAUUUUCCUGAAAAAUUACUAAAGUUAUGCUCAGAUCUUUGUUCUUCUGGUCCUGAUAACUUAGCUCGAACCAUUGAAGUUCAUGGUUUGCAUUUUGGGUUAAAAAUGGUUUGAGUUCUGGUAUUUCAGAGUCUGAUUUGGAUUUUCUGUGGUUUCUACUAUUCCAUUGCUGACUUAAGCGUUGGUUUUGAAUCAUUUGGGUCCUGAUCAUUGAAAUUUGGGUUUUGGUUGAUGUUACUGUUGCAUUGCUGAUUUCUGCUACUACUGUUUCCUUCUAGUUUCAGACUAGAUUUCUGACCUCUUUUGCUUUCAUUCAGGUACUCUCCUGUAUUCUACCCCCAUGUGAAGCUUGAAUUGAAGAGUGAAAUAAAAAAACAGAGCUCAAAAAAAUUUUCUAGUCUCUUUUUAUGAGUUCAGUUCUAUAUUUUGGUUGUCUGGUGGUUUAUAGUUUAGUCCAUUGCUUUCUUAGUUAAUCUCUGCUUUGGCUGUUGAAACUUGUUUCUUUUUAUUGUAUUAAUUUGGGACUAAUGAGAUGUUGUAGAUAAAAAAUGCAGUCAAGAGGCAUGUUGGUUUAAGUUUUCUUUGAUUUUUAGUUAGACAUUUCAAUGUUAUAUUGUUUGGUAGCAGUUCUCGUGAUAAAACUAGCUGCAAGGAGACUAAGGAUAAAAUGAUGAGGUGUAGUAUGCUAUUUGAAUGGGUAAUAUGAGGUGCUAUUUUGAUGUGAAUGGCAUGUCUUGUGGUGAAUGACUAUAAACCCCUGUUGAGAAUAGUUUAAUUUGCCUCUGAGUUUUGUUUAAGGUUUUGGCUUAAAUCUUUCAUGUGUCUAACAUUCGUUUGAGAUGAAUCUUUUACUUCAUAGCUUCAAAGUCUUUUUAAAAAAAAAAGGGAAUUCAGAAUCAUGGUGUGGAGGUUUCCAAAUUUAUUAAAACAUUGUCAAUUGUUUGUUUAAG
RNAcentral lists this long non-coding RNA (2160 nucleotides) under Nicotiana tabacum (common tobacco). RNAcentral's name for it is "long non-coding RNA (NTAB_LNC001580)". Lineage: Eukaryota; Viridiplantae; Streptophyta; Magnoliopsida; Solanales; Solanaceae. The record is from RNAcentral.